CUAACGUGAGUACGUGGCCGUACGGUGCUGCUGCUUCUGCUACAGCUUGUUUACAAACGUUGUUAAACCGAACAAAAGUUUCUUUAAUAGUAGAAGAAACAUUACAAAAUUGAGGCGGAGAUAGAAGAUCUCGAGGAUCCGCUUCACUUGUUUUCAGCUCUCUGGGAGAAACGACGUGGCGGGAGAAGGAUCGGACCAAGACUUGUUAUUUAACGGGACCCUCGUCGGGAAGGAAGUGUUACCUGCAGAUGGUCAACAGCUGUUGGUGAUUGAAGAGGGGGUUCCCUGGAAAUGGAGUCUGGACAAGCAGGAUCCAGAUCCUCUCUGCAUAGAAUAGGAACCAGAGGAACUGUGGCCGAAUCAGGAUGUGAUAAAAGUUGGAAUGACACCAGGGCACAUGGUUCAGGUCUAAACGAUGAUGUAGAGUUUAACACUGCCAACAACUCCCUCAGUUGCUCUGAAUGUAAUGAAGAGUUUCACGACCAACAAUCUCUCCAGAGACAUUUAAAAGAGAAGCCUUUGAGUUGUUUCAACCAUAAGAAAUGUUUUAAAGGGACACCAAAUGUAAAUUUGAAGAAAAGGGUCCGCACAGGGAAAAAAACUGUUGGGUGUGAUGUUUGUGGUAAAAUUUGUAGUCAUAAAGCAGCUCUAAAGAUACACAUGAGAGUCCACACAGGAGAGAAACCAUUCAGCUGUGAUGAAUGUGGACAUAGAUUUAGUCACAAGACACACUU
Melanotaenia boesemani (Boeseman's rainbowfish) is the source of this 734-nucleotide long non-coding RNA. RefSeq lists it as uncharacterized. The transcript has 3 exons. The record is from RefSeq and is a predicted model, not a curated record. NCBI's taxonomy places the organism in Eukaryota, Metazoa, Chordata, Actinopteri, Atheriniformes, Melanotaeniidae.